This 40975-nucleotide long non-coding RNA is filed under the name Olea europaea (common olive). Its description in RNAcentral is "long non-coding RNA (OEUR_LNC001893)". Lineage: Eukaryota; Viridiplantae; Streptophyta; Magnoliopsida; Lamiales; Oleaceae. The record is from RNAcentral.
UCUCCAUCACCUACGGUGAGACUUUGGUCUCCUCAGGCCAAAGCUUUGAAUUAGGCUUCUUUUUGUUGGAAAAUUACAUCAAUAUUGUGUACAUUAUAUUCACAAACAUGCCAUUUAUGUUCACGAAGUCGAAAUGCAAUUUCGUCUUACCGAAAUGAAUUUGAGAAGAUGAAACGAUAGAUUCAAUCAUUUCCUUUCUUUAUUUCAAACCUACAUGAAAUUAAAAGAAUGUUAUUACUUUUCUGAAAUCAAAUAUGAAGAAAGAAAUCAGAAAGAAUUAAGGUGAGAUGCGAGUGAUGCGAUCGGCCGAGGCAAGUGUUAGACAUGUUGUCCUUAAGAUGAAUUUGCUCCGCAUUGGUGCUAACGAUUUUUUGGUAAUCAUCUCCCAAAAUACAAUGACCAAGUCGAGCCAUAGGAACACUCCUAAUGGCUUAGACCAACGAACUAGAACUUAGUUCUCUCUCUACCAAAACCAUGACUUUGAUACAAAUGUUUUAUGCAAAACCAAAGUGUAACAUAAAAUGGAAUGAUAUGGAAUUAUGAGUUGAGUUUCUUUUUUGUUGAUAAAAUUGAAACGCAUGGAGUCUAUAUAUAAUAGUUGGAAAGAUAUGCCAAAUGACAGAACCAUACCAAGAGACUCAUCUCUUAAAAUUUAUUUUUAUACAUUAAGAAACACAAUUAUUGGAAAUUAAUCAUACACAAACCAAGAGUCAUGAUCAUUCAUAUGAAAAGACACAUCCAUAUAUUUCUAGAAUAUUCCACAAUAUUCUAUACAAUUUUCCAACAAUUUCAAGUAUUAAGUGGAUUACAUUUGACUAAUUUGUCAUUAACCAAAUUAAGAAUUCCACUUAAUAAAAUUGGUCACAAUCAAUUUUCGAUACAAAAUUCCAACACUUUUCACUCAGUAUUUCUGGCAAAUGGUACAUAGGAAUAUGGUACAAGAAAUUCCCAAAAAUCAUUGUGUGCAUUGCAAACAGGGAAAUCCCAUUAAGGAAUUCAUCUGGUGUUUUAACAGUUACCCCUAAUGGAGAUCUCGUUCUUUUGAAUAGCAGUGGCAUAGCUAUUGGAAACUGGCAACCUUGUACUCAGAAGAGAAGAUGAUACCACACAAAACUAUAUAUGGCAAAGCUUUAAUUACCCAUCUGAUACGCUUUUACCAGGCAUGAAAUUCGGAUGGAGCACCGACACAAACAGGUAUUUAACAUCAUGGAAAGAUGUUAGUGACCCCUCUCCUGGAGACGUUACUUUUCGACUCGAAAAUAUUGGGAUGCCUCAAUUUGUUCUUCUCAAGGGAUCAGAAACGAUUUACCGGUCAGGGCCAUGGAAUGGAAUUGAAUUUAGUGGUUCUUGUUAGGAUCUUCCUUAAGCCGCUCAAAGUGAUUUCCGGGCUCAGUUAACCAUUAAACAUCGAAUUCAACACCAAAAUCUAAGAUGACCGAACCGCCGGCUUCAACUCUCCUAUGGUUGCUAUUUCCUCUUUUGCUUGUUGAUUCAACCACACACUUAGGAUGGAUACCACACAGGUAAGAGUCACAAAGGCUCAAGCAAUUGGUAGGGAAGACAAAUCACGAAGAAGAAGGCGGCAGUUUCUCUUUACCUCUCGAGUUCAAUCAAAAACGGGGUGAGGAGAAGAGCUUAACCUCCAAUAUAUAUAUUAGUUAAAUGGCCAACUUAAGGUAAGUCACAAUAUGGUAAGUAGGCUCGACUAGGGUUAAGUCCUAAUGGAAAGAAACAACAAGCCACAAAGAGUAUUAGCCAUCCAAUAGGUAAAGCAACGUUUGGUCGGUUCAUCCAUUAUUCGAUGUUGAAUUAUCGUUCAGUCAUUCAUGUCGACUGAUAAAAUUGGUUUUCAUCAUCGUCCGGGAGGUCGUUUGACAACAUGAUGUCUAACAACCUCCACCUUGGUGUCAAAGGACCUGCAAAGAAAAACGUUUUUCCAUUAGUGACACCUCUAACAGAAAAACCGAUAAAAUUGAAAUCAUUUACCUGUACCGAUAUUUAGAAGCUCUUUGCAACUUCUAAACUUUACCAGUGGCAGCACUUUCGUGCCCAUAUCUGAAGGAUUAUACUGUGUGAAUUUUUUCAAGUCUUACUACUUCUUGUGAUAUUAUAUCCCUAAUGAAGUGUAACCUAACAUCAAUAUGUUUAGUGCGUUCAUGAAAAACAGGAUUCUUACAUAGAUGUAUGGAUGACUGACUAUCAGAAUACACAACCACAUACUCAUUCAAGACACUCAGUUCAUGAAGUAGACCUCUAAGUCAUAGAGCCUCUUUAAUUGCUUCAGUGAUGGCAAUAUAUUCUGACUCUGUAGUGGAUAGUGCAACUAUGUGUUGUAACUGUGAUUUCCAACUAACACACGAAUUUGAUAAGGUGAAUACGUAAGAGGAAGUUGAUUUCCUACCAUCCCUAUCUCCUGCAUAGUCAGCAUCUACAAAACCCUUUAAUUUUACGCCUUCUUUAUUAGCACUAAAUUUUAGACCUACGUCACUUGUACCCUUCAAAUAUCUUAAAAGCCACUUUAAUGCUUCCCAAUGUUCAGGACCUGGAUUAGACAUGUACCUACUGAGAGUACUAAUAGCGAAUCCUAAGUCCGGUCUAGUGCAAACCAUCAAAUACAUUAUGGAACCAAUCACAUUUGAGUAUGGAAUUUUACUCAUGUAUUCCACUUCACGUUCAUUGUAGGGAGCUUGUUCUUUAGAUAGAACAAAAUAGUUUGCAAGAGGCAACGUGACAGGUUUGCAGUCACUCAUAUUAAACUUUUUCAACACCUUUGAUAUGUAUGGAGACUGAUGCAAGAAUACGAUGGAAGUUGACCUAUUUCAUUCUAUUUCCAUGCCUAGAAUCCUUUUAGCCUUUCCUAGGUCUUUCAUGUCAAAUUCUCCACUAAGAUCUGCUUUUAUAUUGUUUAUCCACUUAGGAGAUGAUCCAACUAAAAGCAUGUCUUCCACAUAGAGCAACAAAAACAAAUAAUUGUUAUCAGUCUCGUUGUGUUGAAAGUACAGGCAGUGAUUGAAUUUACUUCUUUGAAAUCCUAUAGUGAGUACAAAGGAGUCAAACCUCUUGUACCACUGUCUAGGUGAUUGCUUUAGACCGCAUAGGGCUCUUUUCAGAAAAUACACAUAAUCAGGUUUUAACUUGUCUUUAAAACCUUUUGGUUGAUUCAUAAAGAUUUGUUCAUCAAGCUCUCCAUGUAAAAAAAUGAUUUUUACAUCUAGUUGUUCAAGUUCCCAGUCAAAGAGCGCAACCAAUGCGAGCAUGACACUAAUAGUAGUGUACUUGACAACUGGUGAGAAAAUCUCGUUAUAAUCAACACCUUCUUUCUGUGUGUAACCCUUUGCUACUAACCUAGCCUUAAAUCUUAAGGGUUCUGUACUACUAGUACCUUCCUUAACCUUAAAGACCCACUUGCAAUCAACGAUUGAUUUAUUCUUAGGUCUCAGUACUAACUCCCAAGUUUGAUUCUUUUCUAGAGAACUCAUCUCUUCUUUCAUAGCCUCAAGCCAUUCCUUAGAUUGACCAAUAUUCAUAGCCUCUUCAAAAAUUUCUGGCUCCCUAUCAACUAGUUCUUCGUAACUAGCGUAUGCAAAAUCCAAUUCAGAUUCAUACCCAAACCUCCUAGGUUCUCUCGUUUGCCUUCUCUCUCUAUUUCUAACUAAGUUAUCGUUAGCUAAUGGAUUUUCUUCCUCAGGAUGCUCUUCUAUCACUACUUCAUUUUCUUCUUCAGGUUCUUGGACCUGAAUCUCCACCUCACUUGAAGUACUAGGUACUGAUGUGUUAAAUUUUCCUAACUCCACCUUAAACCGAUUUCUUUCUUCACUUGAUUCAGUUUCACUUAUAGGUUCGGUUUCGUUCUUUAGACAAGGCAUCUCAUUCUCAUUAAAUGUGAUAUCCCUGCUCACGAUGAUCUUAACUCCUUUUUGGCUUCUAUCCCAUAGCCUAUAGCCCUUAACCCCUUCGGGAUAUCCUAGAAAGACACAAUUCCUGGCUCUAGGUUCUAACUUUUCCUCACUUUGAUGAGAAAAGGCAGCACAGCCAAACGCUUUAAGCAUUGAGUAGUCACCCAAUUUUCCAGACCAUUUCUCAUGUGGAGUAUCACCAUUUAAUGCAGCCGAUGGAGUCAAAUUUAUUAGAUAACAGGCAGUGACAACGGCUUCACCCCAAAAUGACUUAGGAACCCCAGAACUUAACAUCAUGCAGCGCACUUUGUCUAGUAUGGUCCUAUUCAUUCUUUCUGAUACCCCGUUUUACUGGGGAGUAUAAGGAACCGUUUUGUGCCUUAUUAUUCCACUUUCUUUACGCAUCCUAUCGAAUUUAGCAUUACAAAAUUCUAGGCCGUUAUCUGUCCUUAAAAAUUUGAUCCUCUUGCUAGUUUGGUUUUCCAUUUGUUUCUUCCAAUUGUUAAAGUUAUGGAAGAUUUCAAUUUUGUCUUUCAAUAGAUAGACCCACACUUUCCUGGUGUAGUCAUCUAUGAUAGAUAGGAAAUACCUAUUCCCACCCGAUGUGAGAUUACUAGCAGAACCCCACAAAUCAAAAUGCACUAUUAUUCAAGCAUGCUUUUAGCGUUAUGCGUACUGGUGGAAAACGACACUCUAUGGUGCUUUCCAAGCACACAAUGAUCACAGAACGAUAGGUCAGACACACAGUCAUUACCAAAUGCACCUUUUUCAUUAAAUAGCUUAAGUCCUUUAAUGCUUACGUGUGCAAGCCUACUAUGCCACGUAUGUGUGUGAUCGAUUUUGGCGGAAGAGAUAGAGGAGUUUAAUCCUCUAAUCACUUCCCCAGUAGUGAUGUAAAUGUCGUUUUUCUUGAUUCCCUUAAUAGAGAUUAACGCACCCUUCAUCAUUUUAAACAUACCGUUUUCAAUUUUACCGGUGAAGUUGUCUUUCUCAAGUCUUCCUUCUGAAAUCAAAUUCCUAGAUAAUUUCGGAAUGUAUCUAACUUCCUUUAACACGUACACAAAGCCUGUGUUAAAUUUUAUCUUUAUGUCUCCAAUUCCAGCAAUUGUAUAGGCUAAGUUAUCACACAAAACUACUUGUCCAUCAUUAGAUUCUUGCAAGUUUUCAAAUCAGUUCUUUUCAGAUGUCACAUGAAAAGACGCACCAGAAUCUAAUAUCCAUUCAUGAAUGUGAGAAUUAGUAGUUAGAUUUAAUUCAGUAGUGUAUGCGAAUGGACUAGUGAUCACAUAGACUUCACCGUUUUUGGUAUCGGAGGUAGAGGAUAACACAUUUACCUCAUCCCUUUCCUUAACCUUCUGUUUUCCCUUUUCUUUAUGACAGUCUUUUAUAAAAUGCCCUGUGCCUCCACAGCCAUAGCAUUUUCUACCCUUAGUUCUAGACUUUGAUCUAGGUCUACCAUUCCCCUUCUUUUUCCAACUAUUACUACUUGAUUCGCCACUACUUUGGUAUCCAUCAUGACUAGCUUGCCUAAAUUGUGUUCUACCCUGCAUCAUAUGUAACUCUCCACUCCUCCUAUCCUGUUUUUCAGCCCUCAUUUCCAUUUCCUUACUCCUAAGAGAAUCUACGACAAUUUCAGGUGUUAACGUGUCCCUACCAUACUUAAUGGCAUUUUUAACUUCUUUAUAAGAGUCCGGGAUUGAAUUGAGCAAGAUAAUGGCCUUAUAGGUUUCAGACACGACUUCGUCGCAAUUGACAAUAUCUUGCACUAAUUUGUUAAAUACAUCUAAAUUGUCGUCGAGAUCCUUUGAAGGAUCCAUUUUAAAGCUGAAGAAUCGUUCGAGUAGGUAGAGUUUAUUCGGUGUAGAUUUAAGCAAGUAUAAGUCUUCUAGUCUUCUCCAAAGUUCUUUGGUGGUUUUUAGUUUUCCCACUUUUCUUAAGACAGCGUCAGAAAAGUAUAAUAUUAUUGAGGUAUAGGUAAGCUCAUCGGCUUCCUCUUUUUGUUCUUUUGAGAUAUCAGGUGCAAAAUUGCCUUCGAUGGCUUUUGACACCUUUUGUUGGACUAGUAUGCCUCUCAUCUUUUGUUGCCAGAUAGAGAAGUCCCCUUUACCAUUAAAAAUUCCCAAAUCAAAAUUAUGUGUUGUCAUUGUUAAAACGCUAAUUAAAUCACACGAAGUAGUAUUGGGAAGCGUGAUAAGGUAAUAUCUUAUUAAUUCUCAGCAAAAGUAACAGUGAACCUAAACGCUACGUCCACCAAGAAAUACCAAGCACUUUAAAUCAAAAGAACAAACACUCAAUUAAUGCAAGUAAUCCUAGUUCUAGCACAAGCAAUGGUUACCCCUUCACGGUAACCCCAAAACCUAAUGAUCACCCCACACGAUGAUCUUGAUAUUGCUGAAUUUAAAUGGAUUAAGCCAAUUUACCAGAGCAGACCUAUCUGAGUCCGUAGAGUGGAGAAAAACGAGCUUGCUGUUGAAUUUCAGUCGGCGUCGUACCAAAGGGCAAAAUCGUCCAACUUUUUCUGUGUAACCUGAAACACAAAACAAAGUAUAUCAGCGCGUUCAGGAGAUCGAAACAAGCAAGUUACCUGAAGACAGCGUCACCGGACAGUCGUCCACGCGCCGCCUCUCCGGGAGCGCCUCGACCUGCUGGUGAUGGGUAUGGCCUCCGUUUGUCCAACCGAGUUUUGUUUUGUGAGUAAUUGGAAAUUUUCAGAUUCGGGUUCUAAGGUUCAAGUCCGAAAAUCAGCCGAGUUUGAGCCAAUUUUUGCUACCCAAGCUCUGAUACCAGAUGUUAGGAUCUUCCUUAAGCUGCACAAAGUGAUUUUCGGGCUCAGUUAACCAUUAAACAUCGAAUUCAACACCAAAAUCUAAGAUGAUCGAACCGCCGGCUUCAACUCUCCUACGGUUGCUAUUUCCUCUUUUGCUUGUUGAUUCAACCACACACUUAGGAUGGAUACCACACAGGUAAGAGUCACAAAGGCUCAAGCAAUUGGUAGGGAAGACAAAUCACGAAGAAGAAGGCAGAAGAAGAAGGCGGCAGUUUCUCUUUACCUCUCGGGUUCAAUCAAAAACGGGGUGAGGAGAAGAGCUUAACCUCCAAUAUAUAUAUUAGUUAUAUGGCCAACUUAAGGUAAGUCACAAUAUGGUAAGUAGGCUCGACUAGGGUUAAGUCCCAAUGGAAAGAAACAACAAGCCACAAAGAGUAUUAGUCAUCCAAUAGGUAAAGCAACGUUUGGUCGGUUUAUCCAUUAUUCGAUGUUGAAUUAUCGUUCAGUCAUUCAUGUCGACUGAUAAAAUUGGUUUUCAUCAUCGCCCGGGAGGUCGUUUGAUAACAUGAUGUCUAACAGUUCUUAUGGCUGGGAUUUGGCUUUCAAACAAAUUUUUGUUUACAAUAAUAAAGAACUGUACUUUAUGAAUGAGAUUGUCAACAAUUCUUUUUUUAUCAUGUUUACCGCGUAUCCAUUAGGUUUAGUCCAAAGUUACCUACUGAAAAAGGGGGUAUCCUCAUCGACUGUUUUGGAUUCAACACAGAAUAAUCGGUGCGACAAGUAUGGAGUAUGUGGAGCUAAUAGCAUUUGUAGAAUCAAGACUAGUCCAAUUUGUGAGUGCUUACACGGAUUUGUUUCUAAAUCACAGAGUGAAUGGGAUGUACUUUACUGGUCCAGUGGAUGUGUGAGGAGGAUUCCAUUGAGUUGCCUGCAGGACUCCAUUAAAAUUUUAAAGCUGGGAGGCGUGCAAUUGCUAGAUCUUCUUAAGAAUUCACUAAAGAAAAGCAUGACUCUAAAAGAAUGUAGGGCAAAAUGCUUGAAGAAUUGCUCUUGCAUGGCUUAAGCAAAUUCAGAUAUUUGUGAAGGUGGUAGUGGUUGUUUCAUGUGGUUCGUGGAUCUGAUAGAUAUUCAAGAUUUUUCUGAAAGAAAAACACAAUAUAUCUAUAUACGAAUAGCUACUUCCGAACUCAGUAAGUAUAUGAAUUCAUUUUUUAUCAGACUUCAAAGAGUGCAGCUACUGUAAUCUCAGCCUGGUCUGUGUAUUCAUUCAAGUUAUCUUAGGGCAAUAUUUUUAUAUGUUGAAAUGAUGAUCAAGCAUAAUAUUGUUCUCCCAUAAUAUAUUUCACUUUGAAAAUAAGUAAUGACAACAAUAUAAUAGUGUUAAUAUAAUGUAGUUAUUGAGAUGCAUUCCUAUAAUUAAGUAUCUCUCUGAUCAUCAGAUGAUAAUUAAAAGACAAGACUGGUGCUGAUCUUGGUCAUAUCUUUAGCUUGUGGAAUGCUUAUCCUUGGCUUCUUGAUCUUACGUCUCAUCAAGAAGAGAGAAUCGAAAAGAGGUGUAUGAACUUUGCAAAUCUCAUUUAAUUAAGUUAACUGGUUUUCCUAUCAUUAUCCAACUAACUGCUGACAGCUUUUAAUAUCGACAUGAAAGAUAUAGAGCUGCCAAUGUUUGAUCUGAGUACAGUUACUAAUGCAACUGAGAACUUCUCAUUAAAAAAUAUGUUUGGAGAAGGCGGAUUUGCAAUCGCGUGCAAGGUAAGAAAAUUAAGUUUUGAAUGAUUUUAUGGUUAUUGAUAGUAAGCAGCGGCCUCAUGGCACCCUUUGAACAAUGUACAGGGUAAAUUACCAACAGGGCAAGAAAUUGCGGUUAAGAGACUCUCAACGAAUUCUGGACUAGGUCUUCAAGAGUUUAGGAGUGAAGUAAUUCUGAUUUCCAAACUUCAACACCCGAAUCUUGUCAGGCUUUUGGGAUGUUGCCUUGAAGAAGAUGAAAGGAUGCUAAUUUAAGAAUAUAUGCCUAACAAAAGCUUGGACCAUUUCAUUUUCGGUGAAUUGCCUCUCUUGAUUUCCCAUUAGAUUAAUGUUAUGGGCAUUUUCAAAUCACCAAAUUGUCCAUAUAUUAUGAAUUUGUUGUAGAUCAGCAUUGAAAAACAUUGAUUACAUGGAAAAAGCGCUUUGAGAUUGUUAUGGGCAUGGCGAGAGGACUUCUUUAACUUCACCAGGACUCUUGAUUGAGAAUCAUUCACAGAGAUCUUAAGAGUAGCAAUAUUUUACUAGAUAGUGACUUGAAUCCCAAGAUUUCUGAUUUCGGGUUGGCAAGAGCUUUUGGUGUGAUCAAACUGAAAGCAAAACAAAGCGAGUAGUUGGUGCUCAGUAAGUUCUAUAUUAACUCCCCUUCUGUGAAUUAAAAUAUGGAUUUACGGUGUCUGGAACCUAACUUGAGGUUCAUGUAGUGGCUAUAUGUCGUCGCCAGAAUACAUUGUUGACGGGAAAUUCUCGGUGAAAUCUGACGUCUUCAGUUUUGGAAUGCUUUUACUAGAGAUAGUGUGUGGCAGGAAGAAUUGGAAAUUUCGCCAUUCCGACCAUCAUCAUAAUCUUGUAGGCCACGUAAGUCACAUAAAGCAAAACUUUUCUUUGGUCCUUAUCUAAUCUUUUUGUUAAGGCAGGACCACACAAUAUUAAAAUCAAGAAAUAAGAAAACCUCAAUCGAACAGAAAUAAAUUGCAGAAAAUUAAAAGAAUACAAAGGAAUUAUUUUGGCCUAAGCCCCUGAGGUUCGGCGACCACAUUUAUCGCCUACAUCCCCCGUUGAGCAAAGAUUUGGAUUGUGCUCAGUUGCACUAAACAGCCAAAACGAGGCAAUAGAUUUACAGAUUGUUCAGAGAGAUGAAAAUAAAACUCAUCUUUCAAGUAUAGCAACAGAUCUACAGAGAUUCACUCAGAUCUCAGCCCACAACACCUUCGAAAACCACCAAAUGAUACAACAGAGAAAUCACUCAGAUUUCUUCAUCAUUCACACAGAAUACAACAAUCGAAGGAAGAUCUCACUACACUCUAUGUAAAAUCAGAGAUUUUACGCAAGUAUAAAAAUGGAUUGUUUAGUCCGCCCAUUUUACUAUUUGCCUUGAUGUCACCUUUGGUGUGGGAGGUAUAGAAAAUAUUUUUUGGCCAGCAGCAAAGUUUUUACCAUCGAAGUUCUUCCCAUUGUCUCUUUGUCCUUUACAAGGAGUCGAUGAUAGAAGGCAAUUUUUGGGAUGCUUGCUGGCCACAUUGCUUGCUGAGAGUGCUUCUCAGUUUGCUUGCUGGGAGUGCUUCUCAGCCUUUUUGCCCGCCAUUGCAGCGAUGCAUUUAGGAAGGUGGUAAGGCCAGUCCACCCUCUUAUUCGGCAAUCCCACCAUUGCAGCGAUGCAUUUAGGAAGGCGGUGUGAGGCUAGUCCACCCUCUUACUCAGCGAUAAACCGGGAGAUUAGCUUACUUUUGAUUGUAGUUUGUAGAGCAUCCAUUAUUUGUAUUUUCGCAUCUUUGUAACGAACGUUUGAUAAUAAAGGACUUUAUUUGAACGUAUAUCGCUCUGACCUUGUUAUCCUUAAUCGUUCAACAUAUUUUGAUUAUGCUUUUAUCUGUUCACAUUCCCACAAAGAAGGAACAUAUUUUUUCAAAUAUUUGCCGUUAAUGAAUCUCACGUGCUUGGUGCCAUCUAAAUCUUCCAAGUGAUACGCUCCAUUGGGCAAUACACUGUUUAUUUUGUAUGGUCCUUCCCAAUUGGGCGACCACUUCCCGUACUUUGGGUCCUUGCUAUCCAAAGAGAGUAUCGUCUUCCAAACUAGUUCACCCAGACUGAACGACUUGGCUAUGACUUUUUUAUUAUAAAACUUAGCCAUUCUUUGUUUUUGAACUUGCAAUCUAUCUAAGACGUCCAACUUUAAUUCGUCUAACCCCAAUAAAUUUUGAACUAGUGAUUCGGCAUACUCAUCAUCAUUCAACUUAUGUUGCAAACACACUCUAAUCGAUUGCACGUUGAUUUCCAUAGGCAAAACGGCCUCCUGUCCAUAAACAAGUUGGAAAUGAGUAACUUUGGUACUUGAUCGAGGUGAUGUUCUAUAAGCCCAUAAGGCCUUGUUUAGACAUUCGUGCCAAUUUCUGGCAUUUUCAUCUAUCAUCUUUCUGAUGAUAUUUUUUAGAAUCUUAUUAGAAGAUUCCGCUUGCUCGUUGGAUUGAGCGUAGUAUGGUGUGGAGUUUACUAAUUUAACCCCAAACUCGCUCAAAAAUUGGUUCACUUGAUCCCCAUUCAAAGAUGUUCCGUGAUCUAUCAUCAACGUUUGUGAAAUUCCAAACCUAUAAAUGAUGUGAUCACGGAUAAAUUCUAUAAUGUUCUUCUGGGUGAUCUCUUUCAAAGGUAUCGCUUCUACCCAUUUGGUGAAAUAGUCGGUUGCAACUAUAACAAAAGUAUGUUGCUUGGACGAUGGGGGAUAAAUUUUCCUUAUCAGGUCUAUUGCCCAACCCUUGAACGGCCAAUGUUUAAUAAUAGGUGCCAUCUCUCGUGCUGGCGCCCUUUGUAUUGGACCAUGCUUUUGGCAUGCUAAACAACUCUUUGCAUAUUGAACGCAUAGUUCUCCCAUCUUUGGCCAGAAAUAUCCACUCCUAAUAAUUAACCAUCUCAUCCUUUGGCCAGUUUGAUGAGAUCCACAUAUCCCUUCGUGCACCUCAGCCAUGAUUGUCUUGACUUCUUGCAAACUUACACACUUCAGUAAUACACCAUCAGAGCGUUUCUUAAACAACUCUUCAUCUAUUAGUGUAUAGUUCAGCAAACACAGCUUCAUUCUCCUACUAAUCCCUCCAUUAGGCUCCUUAAGGAACCUUUUAAUAUCUAUUCUCCAAUCCAUUGCAUCUCCAUCUUGUAUGUAGUGAAGUUCAAUCUUUCUCGUCCUUCUUUGAGUCACGGGUAAUAUGAUUCCAUACUCACAAGUAGACUUCCAAUUCAAAACCUUUGAGUAUCCUGAGGCCAUUUGGGCUAACUCAUUUGCCACGUCAUUAUAUAUCCUAUUAACGCAUUGAAGUUCUACUUGGUCGAAUUCUUCCAACAAUUCUUGGGCGAUCUCAUAUUGACUUAUAAUGGAAUCACUUUGGCAUUUAAAAUCACCAAUCAAUUGGUGGAUUACCAAUUGAGAAUCGCCCCUAACAAUCACAUUUCUUACUCCCAUAUCUAUCAUUAGUUCUAGGCCUACAAUUAAGGCUUCAUAUUCGGUCUGAUUGUUGGUGCACAUUCUGUCUAAAGUGAAUGCGAAUUUGUAGCAAAUCCCUAAAGGAUUAAUCAAUGCUACUCCUACUCGUGCACCUUUAGAGGUUUUUGAUCCAUCGAAACACAAUACCCAAGGUUUUAGCUCGAACGAAUUGAUUUCUAGUUCAAUUUCUUCAGGCAUGUCAAGGCAUGGAUGAUCGGCUAGAAAGUUAGCCAAAGCCUGAUUUUUGACUGCUUUUUGAGGUACAUAAAGCUAGUGUCAAAGGCCUACCCUUUGGUGUAAAAUAGGGCACGAGAACAUGUACUUGACUAAAUUUACUUUAGAAAUUAAAUAAACGGUUACGGGCCGUAAAUAAGUUCUUAAUUUUGUACAUGUGAAAUACAAUGCCAGACAUAAUUUUUCGAUAGCAGAGUAAUUACAUUCACAUUUUGUUAACCGUCUACUUAAGUAGUAAAUUGCCCUUUUUUCACCAAAUUGGUCUUCCUGUACGACCAUUCCAGCUAUUGAUUCUUUUUCAGCCGAUACAUACACUUUCAUUGGCCGUCCUUGGAUUGGUGACACCAACACUGGUGGACUUGAUAAAUAUAUCUUCAAGCUUUCAAAAGCCUUUUGAUGUUCUUCUUUCCAGACGAAUUCGUCCUAAUUUUUCAGCUUUAAGAGCGACGAAAAGACUUUAGUUCGCCUUGCACAGUUAGAAAUAAAGCGUCUUAAAAAGUUUACUUGGCCUAGAAACCUUUGCAAUUCUUUUUUGUUGCUAGGUGGUUUGGUCUCUAAAAUGGCAUUCGCUUUAUUUUUAUCAAGUUCAAUCCCUCUCUUGUGUGCUAAGAAACCAAGAAAAUUCCCUGCAUUAACACCAAAUGCACACUUCAAGGGAUUCAACUUUAGUUUAUAUUGCUUCAUUCGCUCAAACGAAUAUCUUAACUGUUCGAAAUGGUCCUCUUCUUUAAUGGACUUGACUACUAUGUCAUCUACAUACACUUCAACAAAAUUGCCUAUCAUAUCAUGAAAGAUUAAAUUCAUUGCCCUUUGAUAAGUUGCCCCUGCAUUUUUUAGGCCGAAAGGCAUAACUACCCAUUCAAAACAUCCUAGAGACCCAGGGCAUCUAAAGCCAGUUUUGUGUAUAUCUUCUUCAGCUAUAUAAAUUUGAUUGUAUCCUGAAUACUCAUCCAUGAAAGAAUACAUGACAUGUCCGGCAAUCGAGUCUACUAAAGAAUCCACCGUGGGCAUUGGAUAUUCAUCUUUGGGUGUAGCUAUGUUUAAAUUCCUAAAGUCUAUACACACCCUUAGUUUACCAUUCUUUUUUAGUACUGGCACGAUAUUGGACAACCAUUCGACAUAUCUGGCUGUUCUAAUAAAACCUGCUUUCAAUAAUCGCUCUAUCUCUUCCUUGAUUUCAAGGAGUACAUUGGGAGCAAAACGUCUAGGAGGUUGCCUAUGAGGUUUAAAGAUAGGCUUAGUUGGUAACCUAUGUUCCACCAAGUCUCUAUCUAAACUAGGCAUUUGUUCAUAUUCCCAAGCAAAACAAUCUUUGUACUCUUUUAGCAAAGCGAUUAAUUUAUUACGAACCUCUUGAUCGAGCAUCUGGCUGAUGAAUGUUGGACGAUCUUCUCCUUCAUUGCCAAUAUUUACUUUGAUCAGAGGUUCUUGUGCUUGAGCGUAUCCAGGUUUGACGAUCCGCAUCACUUCCUCAUCCAGUUCCCUUGUAAGUACUUCCUCUUCUAAACAGUCCACCUUGUUGACUUCUCGGCCAAUGCUUUGUUCUAACUCGAAUACUGCCAAUUUGUCCUUCAGCGCUUUUAGGGCUGUCUCUUCUUUUGCCUUGUCAUUGCAUUCCUUAUUGAAAGCCAUCAGUCUGGCUUUGAAGGCCUGAAUGUCGGCCAUUUGCUUUUGUAACUUAGAAUCCAUUCAAGACUCCUUGAUUAUUCUUUUGCUAAUUAUUGGCUCUUCUAGGGCCACUAUAUUUGACCUCAUCUGUUUGAACAUUUCAGUGAGUGCGUUCACUGAGAAUGGUUCUUCGCUUUGCGCGACAACUUGAGUUUCUUCUCCGUCUUGCACUACCCUGACAGGUCCAUAGUUUCCUUCGUACAUGAACUUUUCCAUCGAGUUUGCUUCUGCGACAAAAGGCCUAUGAUUGGCCUGUACCACCUCUGCUUCACCUUUGUUAUUCCAAAAGAUCAGGCAUUGAUGGAGCGAUGAGGGUAUACAAUGACUUCCGUGUAUCCAAUCUCUUCCUAGUAGCACAUUAUAACUAGUAGGACCAUCUAUUACAAAGAAGACAGUGGUUCUAGUAGUCGUCCCUAUAGUUAUGUCCAAUGGCAUAACUCCCUUAACUGAAGUUGUUCCCCCAUUAAAACUCGUAAAGAUGACUUCUGUAGGAAUCAUGUCACCUCUGUCUUUGUGAACUUCCUCAUCAUCCUAGAUGGAAUGGUGUUUAUAGCUGCUCUAUUGUCGACAAACACUUUUGCCACUGGGAUGCCUUUAACUAGAGUUUUAACGUACAACGGCCUCAAGUGUUUAGUCAAUUUCAUGGCUGGCCGUUUAAAAAUAACAUUUUCGACAGCCUCUAUUUCUACUUCCUGCUUGUUUUCUAUCGAAUUAUCCCCCUGUGAUAAGUCGACGUGCAGUAUAUCGCACUAAUCCUCUGUCUCCUAAACUUCCUUCUUACUUUUUUCUAAUGCUUCCUCAUCAGUUACCCAACCUGUGGGAGGGGGCAUUAUUCUUGGAGGUGACCCAUACUUUUCAGAGUGAGGCACUCUCUUCUUCCUUUUGGGUGUCCCGUAUAGUACGUAGAAAUCGAAAGGAUGACCAUAUGGUUCUCCCAACAAGUCCACUUCGUGAACUCCCUCUCAAUGUAGUUGCUUCAACAGAGUAUUGCGCGAUACUCCUCUCUUUCUUUUCUCUGCUUCUAGGUUGAUUUCUUCUUCAAUGCCUGUCAUCCCGCCGUCCUCUUCAUCGUUGUAGGCCUCUCUAGAAGUCUGACCUUCUUCACAUACCAGCACGCAAGCUUCUCCUUCGUUGUCCUCCCUCUCUUCUUCUUUUUCUUUAUUCUUGAAUUCAUUGGCCAGUAAGUAAUUAUUGGCCACGAUAGGAGGCAACGUACUGAAUUGGAUAGUAAGGGGCUGAUAUGGAUCUUCUCCAUCCCUUCUGUCCCGCUCAAACUUUGAUCUCCCAGAAGAAGUUUCUGGCAUUUCCUUCAUUGAUUCAUCUGUACCGGUCUCUUCACUAUCUUUGAGGAUAUUUUGAUUGGCUACUUUGAGUAGUUUAGGCGCUUUAGGAUGUGGCACUCCUUGUUGCUGCCUCAUCAUCCGUCCAUAAUUUCGUUGGAAACACCUUUGUUGGGUUCUAGUCAUCUCAUCGAAGGGUAUUGCCCUUCCUGCAUUAUACUAGAAUGAAUGCCAUACAUUUGGCCGACAAGGUUGCGGCCUGAAUGUUCUUCCAUUAUCUGUUGGCCUGAACUGCCUCUCAAAAGGCGAUCCUCUAUAGAAUGAUGUACCUCGCCCUCUACCAGGCUGAGUGUUUGGGAAGAAGGUAGGGCGAUGGGGAUGCUGCCAUAUACCUGGUUUCUCCAUAUUGCCAUCCAUUUCUCUUUUACAUCUUGUACACAGGACGCCUUCGUCCUUUUUUGGAUCUUUCCUCUAGAUUCGUUCAAAGACACUGGGAUGUGGUCUAGGAUCCUCUUCUCCAUCAUCUACGACGAACUUGAAUUUUGGCAAGUUGUUUUUGAAUCCAGACGUCACCAUGUUCACUCCAAGUGUCUGUGGAAAAGGAUUUUCAUCCACUGCCAUCUUCUUCUUAUCAUCGAACGUAAUUCGUCCUGAUUCAAUGACAUCCUGCAAUACAUGGCGAAAAACCAAGCAAUUGUUAGUCAAAUGUGACCAUGCAUUAUGCCAAUUACAAUAUUUUUUACCCUUAAUUUGUUCAGGGUUUGGCAAUUUGUGCUUAUCGCUCAACUUUAUUUGCUUAUCCCUAUAUAAUUUAUCAAAUAUAAGGUCAGCCAUGGUUACAUCGAACGAGAACGUUCUAGCCUUUAUGUUUCCAUCUUUUAUGGGCUCAUCUUUGCUCGAUGGUCUAGGCUUGGCCAUUAUGGGACAAGUAUACGUAUCUCUUUUGACCAAUUCGGUCAAACACAUUUCGGCCUGGUCGUAUGACUCGUCACUGAUGGUAUGAACAUCAAAAUUUGGGUAUUUGUAAUAAGUCCCUUUACUAGAAUUUUUCAUCUGUUCUUCAUCUCUUAUCAGUCGUUCAUACCUAAUCACAUUCGCACUCAACUGGAAAAGGUCAGGAAAUUCCUUGUCCUGGAAUUUCUUUUUUAAAUCAAAGCUCAAGCAACCCUGAGCGAUUUUGACAAAUUCUUUUUCGGGCAGAGGAACAAAACACUUGCUUCUUGCUGUCUUGAACCUUUGGAGAAAACCUUCUACCCAUUCGUUUGGCAUUUGACGUAGAUUUGUCAAAUCGGCCAAAGUGACUUCAGACUCAGUUUUGUAAAACUGAGCAUGAAAUAACUGUUCCAAUUGUUGCCAUGUUUGAACAGAGUUCAUUGGCAAGUUGAUGAACCAGGAGAAAGCUACUCCUGUUAACGAACUAGGGAAAAGCCUCAUUUUAUGGUAAUCGGUUACAUCACCAUUUUGCAAUGUGAAUCGCCCUACGUGUUCUAGAGUAGACGUCUCUCCUAAAUCGGUAAACAGCGAGAAUUCUGGCACUUUGUACCCUCUAGGCCAUGGAUAUGCUUGGUCUACCCAAUCAGGAUAUGGCUUUAUGUACGUCGGCCUAAUGACGGGAUGCACCCCAAAAGCCAUCUGAUCCUGUACGAUUUCCAUAAUCUGAUUCCUCAACAUGACGAUGGGAUCAUUGGAAUUCCUACAGGCUGAUUAAUCGGUUGAUUUGCAUGAGGCCUGAUGUUUGGUCCUUGAUUGGCAACAAAAUUACCAUAAUUAGGGCCAUUACCAUUAGCCUGAACAUCUAUUCCCUCAUUAACACGUGGGCUGUGCUGUCCAUUGUUUAGGACAUUAUCUCUUAUGUUUGGACUACCUCCCAAGUUAGGCGUACCACUACCAUUGUUCUGAUUUGGCACUGCAGUACCCCCUUGGUUUAAAGUAGAGGGACCAAAAAGUGGUUCUAUCCCUUGAUUCAGAUUUAGGACUGAGGGAUUAUAUCCCACAAUUGUCCUAGUUUGAAAGUGAUUUGCAAGAGGUAUAGCCGGUUGACAUAUUUGGCCUACUAACUUAUUCAUUGUUUCGUUCAAAGUAUUUAGUUGUUUGGCCAUAUUGUCAUAGCGUGCAUUCCCAUUUUGGGUAAAUCUUUCCAUAUUAUGAAUAGUUCGAAGAUUUACCUGUUCAACAACGUCUUGUGUGAGUUCUCCAAGUAAUGCACGCAUGGUUCGAGGACUCAACUCCGUCAUUGGUUCGUAACGACUGUUACUGCUCUGAUUCUGUCCAUCUGUUCGUGGAGAGGCACGCUGCUCCUCAUAUCGCUCGAUCACAGAUUGGAUUCAUCCCUGACUUGCUGCUUCCUUAUCGGAUCUCUGAGGCAUAUUGUUUCACCUUUUGUACUUUCAACACCAAACACCACUGUCCCACUGGGCAUGCCAAAUUGUUUCGCGCGGGUUAGUCGCUAACAAUUAAAAGGGAUCAGACGAUUGUGUAAGGGACAAACCUCUUGGGACAAAGUCCCAAAAAGGGGUGUUCUUUUAUUGGCGAUGACUUUACAAUUGGAAAUCGAAAACAAAGUGCCUCCAAGGGGCGCAAGCACACGAGUUACUGAAAAAAGUGUUUAAGUCUAUGCUAAGGAAAUUAAAAUUACAUGUUCUCUGUUCGAGAGUUUUUGAUUCGGUCCCUUUUCUCUAUGUCUUUUCUCCCUUUUAUACUUCAUGGACGAUCUCUUUGUGAUCAACCGCCUAAAAACUGCUUGAUCGUUCUGCAACUGCCCACUUUCCUCAUAAUGGCCAGCUUGUCAUGAAAACUGCCUUAUUUAACUGCUGCCAUUACUCUUCGUCGUUCAACCGUUUUCGAUUGAAUUCCUUGAAUCGUGGAACGUGAUGGGGCUACUUUAAUAACUGCUUUGAUAACUGCACUUCUUGAUAACCACAACGCUUUAUGUUUGUUAAGACCUUGGGCGACUUGAAGGUUUUGGCGAGAAUAGAGUAAUAGCUCUGGCCGACUGCACGGCACUCCAUUCGCUCAGAUUCUGGACGACUUGUAAUCUUGGGCGAUGGCGUUACCACGUUCUUGGGCCUCCCUAUUUGGGCCUUCAUCUUGAAUUGUUAGACUGGGCUUCGUUCUUUGGGCUAUCUGAUUUGGGAAUUCUCCAAUUGGGCUUCAUUCCUUGGGCCGUUAGAUUUGGGUUGAAUUUUUAUGUGUCGACAAUUACCCCCAAUAUGGCAGAAUUAAUAAUAAUUAUUAAAUUUUGCCAUAUUCACUUUGUGUUUCCAGCAACAUUCGAGAUUUUCAAGAAUUUCAAUCAUUGUUUUCUUCCAUAACUUGAAAAGGUGCGUCGUUUUGCAAACCCUUAUAACUCCUAAACACGCCAUUUCACUGCACCACUAAAUCACGCCUCAAAUUUUUUCGCGUCUCUCCCACGAUUUACUGUUCAUCUUUUGCUUCCCUACUACGUAACCCUGAAAAACUUCGUUCCAUCUCAAAUGGCUACUUCACAAUCUCAAGCUGGCGACUCCUUUAGUUUUGAUGACUUUCAGAAACUUCUGAGUCGUCCAUACAUAACUCCGAGUUUUCUCGCGCCCGUCGAUGUUGAAUGGAAUGAGUUCUACUUAGGCCCUUUCUUCAAUAAUGCAGAGGCAGUUGAACAGGCGGCGGUGGGUCAGCUGUUUCCCUGUACUCAAGGCCCUCCAUUUCUAAACUCUCUGCCGCUGGGGCCACUUCGCGAAAGAGGUAUUCGCACUUGCCCCCAGGAAGCGAACAAGUCUUGGAUAGAACGCACAAUCUUGUCAGCAUCCUGCAAAGAAAAUUGCCAAUAUUAAAGAUUUUCACUACAACGAAGAAGAUAGAAAUAAAAGUGAAGCAAAGAUUACCUCAUCAACAAUCGUGGAAGAUGGCAUGUCCUCAGCCAAGUCUGCCACCAAUCACUCCUCCAUUCGUAAGGACUUCCCCUUAUUUGAGCGAGAAGAUGUUGCCACAACGGGCAGACUCAUAGAAGUAUCUGCAAAACUCAAGAGCAACAAAUCAGAAAACAAUAGCACAAGCAAAGGUAAGGCAUCAAAAAACUGAAUUACCUUCUACCUCGAUGUUUGGGGGGUUAACGUCCUAAGAAGAAGGUGGCUCAUCCAUGGGUUGUGAUGAGAAUUCUGGGACUGAAGAUGUCUCUUUAAGCGUAGUCCCCUCAUCAACCGGUUUGGAUGAAGCAGCCUCAGCGGAGGAUGAUGCAGCAAGAGCUGUCGAUGCCAAAGCCUCUGAAAGAGAGGCUGAACUUUUUUGAGAAAUCCAAAAAAUCAUCAGCACACAAAAAAGAAUGAAAAAAUGUCCCUUCUGAACAUAUUUACAGGAGCCAAGGGCUCCAUGGCUAGCCCAUAACAGCUAGCAGAGGAGCGAGAGAUUGAUGGAGCACUAAGCAAUGAAAAAUAGGAUUUCAACCACAGUUGAGUGAACCAAAGAGGUCCACUGCCAAUGGGAGAUGCACCAUUCUUCAAUUGAGUUUGAAGAGAGGCCAUGCCUCUAUAAAGGGUAGCCAAAAAGAAAGAACAUAAAUUCAAAGGCCUGCCACGCGCCAAUUCGUGCGCUAUAGGUAAAUAACUAAGGGAGGGCUUUAUGCUUGGCACACACAAAACAUAUUUACAAAGCCAAACUAGAAGAAAGGCCACUUGCUCAGUAUGGGAAGGCUCAGCGCUCGAAUGAUUGUGAAGGGUUUGCAGGCUUGAAUAAGAUUCGGUGUAGUUUUUACCAAACUUUGGGGCACCACCAGAAACCAAGAUACCCGGAAAAAUGGUAUCGCCCAAAGGUGGUAGAUUCACCAAGGCCCCAACAUCCCUUAAAGUAAUAGACAUGGGGCCAAGAAGGAAAAUAAAGUUAUUAUACUCGGAAGACCAAAAACUCAAAGUAAUCGAAAAGAGUGCUGAAUCAAAAGUAGGGGGACGAAUAGAGAUUUCUAACAAAUCAGAAAUCCUAGCGCUAUCAAAAAGUGCCUUAGUAGGGCCAUGACCGACAAGACGAGCAUGCCACCUACGAAAAGCUACAUCAGAUUUAGGCCAAGUGCGAAUACCUCUUUCGCGAAGUGGCCCCAGCUGUAAUACUCCGAAAUUUUAUGCUCGUCUAAAUUUGCGUAGGAUAGUGAUUUAACUUUCAAUAUUCUUUUUGGGCAUAAGGAAAAAGGGACACCACCUUUGUAGUAGUUAAUGUUAGAGGUAGUUAAUGAAUGUAGGCAUGAAGUAUCAAAGGUUGUGUAUGUAUGAAGUGAUUAUUAAUUAGUCGAAACUUAAGGCAAGUUUGGAUUUGAAUAAAGUGGAUUAUUUUGUUAGGACUUCAAUUGACCAAAUGAUUAAAUUAUGUUACAAUCUACAAUUUUUGAAUAUGUAAGUUGGUUACAAGUUUAAAUUUGGGGUACACUUUGUUAACAAUGAAAGUUAGAGGGUUUAGAUUAUAUUAGUUGAAAAGAUAAGAGGCUUCCUUUGUAAAUCUAGGUUUUAAGGCCACUUAUUACCCUAUAGUCAACCCACUUGUCCUCCAUCAUCACCAUACACUUAGAUAAUAGACUAAACAUGUGUACAAGCAAGGAAAAAAAAAGUUGGGAGAAAAGGGGGUGAGGCGGUGGGAAGAGAAAAGAAGAAAAAAAAAAUAUAUAUCAAUCCUUAUCCUUAUCUUUAUAUAUAUAUAAAUAUAUCCAUAUCCAUUGCCAUAGAGAGAUUUCCUUCAUUUUACAAAACACUUAUACACUUAAAAAGAGAGCAAAAACCGAAAUUAAGAAAAGAAAGGAGAAGGAAGUAAGUUUAGCAUUUCCAAUUCAUUUCAAUCGAAGAUCUUCAAGUUUUACGGUAAAAUACCUUCCAUGCUUAAGAGUUAUGAUUUUCAUGGUAAUAUUUAUGCUUAAACUAAACCAUAAUAUGAUUAUGGUGGACAAGUCCGAAGGGCACCGGCAAGCCGGAAUGUGCAAGUAUGGGUUUGAUUGCAUUCUUUUGUGUAGUAUUAUCAUGAUAAAAAUCCAAGCAUGGUAUCUUACUGAGUAUUUCUUAUACUCAUAGUAUGUUAUGCUAAAUUUUCAGAUCCAUGAUCGUUGGAUUGAUGAAAGUUAGUUGGCGAAUUCGAUGAUGGAUUAAGGACAAGGAUGUUUUGAACCGAAAGUUUUCUUUUGUAUGUUUUGCUCGAUGACUGUUGUUCCAUCUAUAUUUCUUAUGGUAUUAUGUAAAAAUAUGUACAUGACAUGAUGAAAUAUGGUAUUAAUAGUAAAUUUUGUGAUUAUAUCUUUCAUGUUAUGUUAAGAGACAUUUUUGUAGUUUAUAUUCCUUACAAGUGACAAAAGGCAGAAACGAGACAGUUUCUGGAGUCAAUUUCAAAAUGAUGUUUCUAACUCUAUAAACUUCCAUUUGAGAUUCUAAAAAUAUUUCUGUUUUCCUCUUUGAUUUUUCUAAAUAUGGCCGAAGGAAUCACUCAAUUUGGAUAUCUAUGACCGGAGUUAUCAAGGUUUUAACGUCAAGGGGUCAAUCUGGAUUUUCUGUGCAACACUUCACUGUUUUCAGUAAAACUUCUAUAUCAUAUGAUCUUGGAAAAUUUUCAUAUUUUAACCUAGAAAAAUACUUGAAAUUAUCUUUCUAAUGCCACAAAUUUCAUGUAAAACGGAGUUGGGGUGAAUUUUAUAAAAAUUGUCAAACUUGCUGCCCCAACUAAUCGUAAUAGUGUCGAGGCCGUAUAUGUAAUAUAUAAUUUCAUGUUGACAUGCACUUUUAUCGGCCAUCAAACUUUAUAAGAAUUGUUUUAUCAAAUUGAAAAAUAAGUUUCUAACAUGUAAUACUUCUAUUUAAGAGUAUUUACAUGUACCAAAGACUGAAGUUAUUAUGUUUAGUACGUGACCCUCGAAGUUUAAGCUCGGGGCGUCACACCAGCGGCAGAAAAUUUAGAAAUGGAGGGCCUUGAGUACAAGGAAACAGCUGACCCACCGCCACCUGUUCAACUGCCUCUGCAUUGUUGAAGAAAGGACCUAAGUAAAACUCAUUGCGUUCAACAUCGACGGGCGCGAGAAAACUCGAAAUUAUGUAUGGACGACUCAGAAGUUUCUGAAAGUCAUCAAAACUAAAGGAGUCGCCAGCUUGAGAUUGUGAAGUAGCCAUUUGAGAUGGAACGAAGUUUUUCAGGGUUACGUAGUAGGGAAGCAAAAGAUGAAUAGUAAAUCAUGGGAGAGACGCGAAAAAUUUGAGGCGUGAUUUAGUGGUGCAGUGAAAUGGCGUGUUUGGGGGUUACAAGGGUUUGCAAAACGACGAACCUUUUCAAGUUAUGGAAGAAAACAAUGAUUGAAAUUCUUGAAAAUCUCGAAUGUUGCUGGAAACACAAAGUGAAUAUGGCAAAAUUUAAUAAUUAUUAUUAAUUCUGCCAUAUUGGGGGGUAAUUGUCGACACAUAAAAAUUCAGCCCAAAUCGAACGGCCCAAGGAAUGAAGCCCAAUUGGAGAAUCCCCAAAUCAGAUAGCCCAAAGAACGAAGCCCAAUCAAACAAUUCAAGAUGAAGGCCCAAAUAGGGAGGCCCAAGAACAUGGUAAUGCCAUCGCCCAAGAUUGCAAGUCGCCCAGAAUCUGAGCAAAUGGAGUGCCGUGCCGUCGCCCAGAGCUAUUACUCUAUUCUCGCCAAAACCUUCAAGUCGCCCAAAGUCUUAACAAACAUAAAGCGUUGUGGUUAUCAAGAAGUGCAGUUAUCAAAUCAGUUAUUAAAGCAGCCCCAUCACGUUCCACGAUUCAAGGAACUCAAUCGAAAACGGUUGAAUGACGAAGAGUAAUGGCAGCAGUUAAAUAAGGCAGUUUUCAUGACAAGCUGGCCAUUAUGAGGAAAGUGGGUAGUUGCAGAACGAUCAAACAGUUUUUAAGUGGUUGAUCACAAAGAGAUUGUCCAUGAAGUAUAAAAGGGAGAAAAGACAUAGAGCAAAGGACGGAAUCAAAAACUCUCGAACAGAGAACAUGUAAUUUUAAUUUCCUUAGCUUAGACUUAAACAUUUUUUUCAGUAACUCGUGUGCUUGCGCCCCUUGGAGGCACUUUGUUUUCGAUUUCCAAUUGUAAAGUCAUCGCCAAUAAAAUAACACCCCUUUUUGGGACUUUGUCUCAAGAGGUUUGUCCCUUACACAAUCGUCUGAUCCCUUUUAAUUGUUAGCGACUAACCUGCGCGAAACAGGAACACAAACUCAAAUCGCCAAUACUUUUCUCUCUGAAAACCUUAGAGUCAAGAGAAAAAUGAAGGGUUGGUUUUGACGUUCCAGAAGGCUCCAGCCUUUUAUCAAAAGACAUGAAACGGUUUAAUCCAACGUCCAGAAAUAGUCCACGUAUUGGCCAUCUAGUAAAGUAUCAAUACUUAUUAAGUCGUGUUUAAUAAAAAACACGGUUUCAUCACAAAUCAAAUUAUGGAAGCACUAAAUAGGAUAACAGAGUUCGACUCCAACAAUCUCCACCUUGCUGCCAGAUUUUGAGCUAUUAGUGCAGCUAGGAGCAUAAUCUUACGUUUUUUUUUCAUUUGCUCCAAGUACCUGUAUAAGAAUCACAAAAAAUCUACAGAUAAAAGUUUUAAGCAGUUUAAGAAUUUGUUUAAAAGAAUUACUUUUGUACCCAUAUCAGAUGAAUUGAACUAAGUAGGAACUUUUUCAAUCUUAAUUUCACCUUUUGAGAUUAUAUCUCUUAUAAAAUGGUAUUUAACAUCAAUAUGUUUUGACCUAUCAUUGAACAUGGGAUUUUUACUUAGGUGAAUAGUACUUUGGUUAUCAGAAAACAGUACAAUGUGGUUAUCAUUGAAACCCAUUUCAGACAAUAAACCAUUUAACCAUAUUCCUUCUUUAACAGCAUUAGUUGCAGCUAUAUAUUCUGCCUCAGUUGAGGACAAGGCCACAACUUUCUGGAGUUGAGAUUUCCAACUGAUAGUAGUACCACACAGUGUAUAAAAGUAAGAUGAAGUUGACUUUCUAUUAUCUCUAUUUCCAGCAAAAUUAGAAUCAGUAUACCCUUUUAAACUUAUUCCAUUUUUAUCUGAUUGAAACAUUAAGCCUAAAUUUAAUGAUCCCUUAAGAUAUUUCAAUAACCAUUUUAAGGCAUACCAAUGUUCUUCACCAAGGUUACUCAUAAACCUACUUAACAUGCUAAUACUAGAUGUAAGAUCAGAUCUGGUGCAUAUCAUCAAAUACAUCACAGAACCAAUUACAUUAGCAUACUGAAUUUUUUACAUUCUGGCAUAUUCAUCUUCAGAUUUAGGACAAAAUUCAAAAGACAGUCUAAAAUGACUAACAAGAGGCAGUGUUACAGUCUUACAAUCAUGCAUGUUGAAUUUUUUCAAGAUUUUAGACACAUAGUCACAUUGAUUUAAAAACAACAUAUUUUUAUCCUUGUUUCUCCAAAUUUGCAUGCCCAAUAUUCUUUUAGUAGUACCAAGGUCUUUCAUAUCAAACUCAGAAUUUAACUUUGAUUUAAUAUCAUCAAUUUUUGAUUUAUCAGAACUAGCCAACAACAUAUAUCCACAUAAAGGAUCAGAUAUAAUAAGUUUUCAACUCCACUACCUUUGCAGUACAAGCAAGUAUCAUAUUGGCUUCUUUUAAAUCCAAGUUUCAAGACAAAAGUGUCAAAUCUUUUGUACCACUGCCUAGGUGCCUGCUUUAGGCCAUACAAGGAUUUCUUUAACAAACAAACAGUGUUUUCAGGAUCACCUUCCUCAAAACCAAUUGGUGGUCUCAUGUAUAUUAUUUCAUCUAAUUCUCCAUACAGAAAAGCAGUUUUAACAUCUAGUUGAUCAAGUUCCCAUUUAAAUUGUGUAACAAGUGCAUGUAGACAUCUGAUAGUAACCUACUUAGCAACAGGAGAAAAAAUUUCAAUAUAGUCCACACCUUCUUUUUAUGUAAAACUCUUUGCUACAAGUCUAGCUUUAUAUCUAAUGUUUUUAUCAUCACUUUCUCCAGUUUUUAUUUUAUAAAUCCACUUGCAAUCAAUUAAUUUUUGUCCUUUGGGCUUAUCAACUAAUAUCCAUGUCUUAUUUUUAAGAAGUGAAGACAUUUCAUCUUCCAUGGCCAUCUUCAAAUUUUUUCUUUCUUUACAUUUCAUGGCUUCUUCAAAGGUGUUUGGCUCAUUUCAGUAAGGUCUUGGUAGGUAAAUAAGGAUACAAAGGUGUCAUUAUCAAAUCUAGUAGAGGGUCUGAUUUGCCUUCUCUCCCUAUCUCUUGUGAGUUGAUACUCAUCAAAGGGGAGAGUUGCAGAAUCAGCCUCUUCAACAUGUUCAGUUUCAGGUAAAAUUACAUGUUCUUCAUUUUCAUUUUCUUCUGCAGUAGUUACAGAAAUGUUCUGGUAACUGGAAGAAGGUUCCGCCUCAAUUUGAACAUCUUUUUCAGUCAAAGUACUUUCUUUUCCUUCAAGACAUGGCAUCAAAGAUUCAUUGAAGACUACAUCCUUUCUAAUUAUUACUCUAUAACAUUUUUCAGAUUUAACCCAUAAUCUGUACCUUUUAACAUGUUCAUCAUAACCCAAGAAAACACACUUUAAUGAUCUUGGUUCUAGUUUACCUACAUUUUGAUGAGCAUAGGCAGCACAGCCGAAUAUUUUCAGAUAAGAGUAGUUUACAGGACUAUUUGACCACACAUUUUCCGGGUAAGAAAAGUUUAGUGCACUAGUAGGACUUCUAUUAAUCAAAUAAGCUGCAAUUUUAACUGCUUUACCCCAAAAUAUUUUAGGCAGUCCAGAACUUAAUAACAUGCAUCUAACUUUAUUCAACACAGUUCUAUUCAUUGUUUCAGCCAUUCCAUUUUGUUGUGGUGUGUGCGGAACAGUUUUGUGUCUCAUGACGCCAUACUCCUUACAGAGAUUAUCAAAUUCAGAAUUGCAAAAUUCCAAGCCAUUAUCAGUUCUUAAAUAUUUUAUUUUAAGAUCAACCUGAUUUUCAACUUGAAUUUUCCAGUCCUUAAAAGAAAAAAAUGUCUCAUCUUUAGACUUUAGUAGAUGAACCCAAACUUUUCUUGAGAAGUCAUUAACUAUUAGUAAAAAAUAUUUAAAACCAGUUAAAGUAGAGACAGAAGCAGGACCCCCUAGAUCAGCAUGAAAAUACUUAAAUCUUUGUUUUGACUUAUGAAUUCCACUUUGAAAAGGAAGUCUGGCUUGCUUUUCCAAAAUACAGUGUUCACAGGAGUCAAAGUCACCAAGAUUAUGUUUUCCAAAAACACUUUUUGAUUGCAAAAUGUUUAAACCCUUUUUACCAAUAUAACCAAGCCUUUCAUACUACAGUUUUGCAAAAUUAAAAUUUUCAGAUACAAGAGAAGCAGUUAAUUCAAGCAAAGGUUUUGCAUUCAGACAGUAAAGACCAUGUCUCUUAGGGGCUGAAGUGACCAAGUCAUUUCCCCUAAAAAAUUUUAUAUGUCCUUGACCCAUAAUUAUGUUAAACUCCUUGUCAUCUAACAUUCCUAAGGACACUAAGUUUCUUUUCAAAUCUGGGACAUGUCUUGUGUUCUCUAGGAACAAAACAUUACCAUUUUCUAAUAAUAAUUUGACAGUCCCAAUUUCACUCACUUUACAUGCAAAGUUGUUUCCCAUUAUAAACUGUCCCCCUUUGGUUCUUUCUAAAUUUAUAAAACAGUUUUUGUUGGGGCACAUAUGAAAAGAACAUCCUGAGUCAAGUAUCCAUUCAUUACUUGAGCAUUUUCAGCACUUACAACACAAAACCAUUUUCUGUUUUAGUUUUAUCAUAGGCUAGUGCAUUGCUUCCAUCAAUGCUCUUUUCUUUUGAAUCAUUUUUCUUUUUAAAACAAUCUUUUGCAAAAUGACCAAGUUUACCACCAUAAUAGCAUUUUUUACCUUUUGCAUUAUUCUUGGUCUUAUUUCUGUCAACCCAUCUCCUAUUAGUUUUGAAAACUUAAAAUUUUGUGUGGGUUUUUCAAAAGAUUUUCCUUUAGUUAAGAAACUAGUUUCAGUAUGACUGUUACUUGACUCAGCCUUAAUUUCUAAAGCUUUAUUCCUCAAAGAACUGGUUAUAUCAUCAACAGUGAGUUCAUCCUUACCAUAAUCAAGGGCAACUUUAAUGUCCUUGUACUUGUCACUUAUGUAGUUUAAUAGAACUACAGCCAAUUGAUCUUUUGAAAGUUUUUCAUCACAAUUGGCCAAGUCUUGGGUAAGUUUUGUGAACCUACUAAGGUUCUCUUCUAUGUCAACUGCAUGAUCCAUUUUAAAGGAGAAGAAUUGUUUUAAAAGAAAACAUUUAUUUGGAGUGGUUUUGAUCUCAUACUUAGCCUUAAGUUUGGCUCAAAGAUUAGAGGCAGUAGUAGUUUCACCUACCUCUCUGAUCACAUUGUCAGACAAAUACAGAAAUAUGGUACUCCAAGCAAUUUCCUUAAGUUCAGAUUUCUUAUUAGGAGCUAAGCCUUUAGGCCAUGAAUCAUCUAAAGACUUGGCACAUUUCAUUCGCAUCAAAAUUGCUCUCAUUUUCUGACUCCACAUGUCAAAAUCAAUUUUACCAUCCAACUGACUAACUUCAAAUUUAGCAGUAGCUAUUGUGCAGAAAAAUUUUCAUGCAAGAUCAGUUUGGAUUUACAGUAGUUUAAAUAGGAAGUCAAGAAAUGUCAAUUUGUAUCAAGUUUGAAAUACAUUAGAACACACAGUAAUACAAAGUUUCACAAUUCUUGCAAUAUUAGAAGAAAACAUGCAAGAUCAAUUAACAGACAAUAAUCACAGAGAUUGAAUUCAAGGUUUCACAGUUCUCUCCAACAAGAUUCUCCAAGUGCACACUCGUACUUGAUUUAUCUCAGAUUCCAGGGGCCUCGCAGGAGCCACUGGACAAAGAUUAGUCUCAUGGGGGGUUUCAACGGUGCACCGAAAAAAUCAGGGGAAAAUUUAGGAAACUCAAGUUUCUGAAAAUUAAUUUACAGAAUAAUAAAAAAGAUCUCACCGAGCGAGUUGAAUAACUCGUAUUGUUCUCAAUCUGCCUUUUCGGCAGUUCCAAAAAAUUCAGGAUUGUUGCAGGUCCACCAGUUUCUCUAAGAUUUAGGUAUCUUGUUCCUUUGGACGUGGCUCUGAUACCACUGUUAAGGCAGGACCACACGAUAUUAAAAUCAAGAAACAAGAAAACCUCAAUCGAACAAAAAUAAAUUGUAGAAAAUUAAAAGAACACAAAGGAAUUAUUUCGGCCUAAGCCCUGGAGGUUCGGCGACCACAUCUAACGUCUACAUCCCCCGUUGAGCAUCCAAGGAUUUGAAUUGUGCUCGGUUGCACUAAACAACCAAAACGAGGCAACGGAUUUACAGAUUGUUCAGAGAGAUGAAAAUGAGACUUAUCUCUCAAGUAUAGCAACAAAUCUAGAGAGAUUCACUCAGAUCUCAGCCCACAACACCUUCGAACACCACCAAAUGAUACAACAGAGAAAUCACUCAGAUUUUUUCAUCAUUCACACAGAAUACAACAAUCGAAGGAAGAUCUCACUACACUCUAUGUAAAAUCAGAGAUUUUACACAAGGAACACAAAGAAAAUCAACAACUCUCAAAUCGCCAAUACUUUUCUCUCUGAAAACCCUAGAGUCGAGAGCAAAAUGAAGGGUUGGUUCUGACGUUCCAAAAGGCUACAGCCUUUUAACAAAAGGCAUAUGAAACGGUUUAAUCCAACGUCCAGAAAUAGUCCACGUAUUGGCCAUUUAGUAAAGUGUCAACACCUAUUAAGUCGUGUUUAAUAGAAAACACGGUUUCAUCACAAAUCAAACUAUGGAAGCACUAAAUAGGAGAACAGGGUACGACUCCAAUACUUUCCAUUCAGACGAUUAACUGCAUCUAUUGAUAUUUCAAGCAUGGUUAUUGUGGAAAGAAGGCAGGACACUGGAAGUAGCAAAUGACAUUGCAGAGCUAUUGUUGGUUGAAUCCGAAGUAAUUAGAUGUAUUCAGGUGGCCUUACUGUGUGUUCAAAAACUACCACAGGACAGGCCAACAAUGGCAUCAGUAGUUGUCAUGUUGAGCUACGAGAGUGUGACAUUACCCCAACCUAAAGAGCCUGGUUUUUUUUUUUUUUUUUGUGGAAAGAAGUUGUGAUGAAACGGACACAUUAACAUGCAAGGAAUCAUGCCUCACUCAAAACGAGGUGACAUUAUUAGUGCUGGAACCAAGAUAAACGAUGUAUGUACGCGUUGUCUUGGUGAACAAGGUGUUGCCUAUGAUCUCACUCAAAACAUGGUGACAAUACAACAUUUGAAGAUAUGCCAUUUCAGUGCUAUUAAAUUGUGUUUUCAGCACUAGAUAAUGAUUACACCUGUGGUUUAAAAAAUAUGUUGAAUUUCUUGCUUCUAACAAAGGUUGAGUAUUAGAUAUAUUUUCUUGACCUCAGUCUAAAAAGGCUCUACCUUGUUUUCUGCAUUUCUAUGUCACUUGAUACUUAGUUGAGUAAUUUAUAUUAAUUAAUUAAUUUAUUUAUUUUUCAAGACAGCUGUGUAAUGAAACACCUUUCCUAUUGCAAAGAGUUCCUUUUACUAGUGGAAAUAUCAAGGGCAGUGGUUGGCUAUAAAAGUCUCCAUUGAUGUCAAAAUCCAUGACUAUGAAGGUUAACAAGUUUGACUGGCACCUUAGUUAAGUCAAAUACUUUUAUUGUAGUUGGAAAACAAGUUUGAGUGUCACCUUAAAUCGAAUAUUGCAUAUUAACCAUGUGAAAAAUAAGUAAAGGUUUCGAAAACAAGUGGGAUAUAAGCAUUUGUAAAUGUCAAAGGCCCAUGCAUGAGUCUCAAUCAAAGGUUCGUGGUAGAAUUUUGUGAGUGAAGAAGGCCUAACAAAUUCCAUUCAUUUAUUUUGAGAUCUCAAUAUGCAAAAAUGGCCUUCAUUUGUUUAUUCCAACCAUCAAAAUGGCAAAAUAUUAGGUUUAAUUUAUUAUUCAAUAAUGUUACAUCUUUGAAUAAGACAUCACAUCUGAAAUGACAUCUUAGAAUCAUUCAUUCGAUCAUUUCCCAUUGGUCUGGCAUUAAAAGUUUAGCCAUUUUUUUCUUUUUUCAUCCCGUCAUUAUGGCAAUUACUGGUAAAGAAGAAAAUUAUGCUUCUAUCAAUACUCUUCAAAUUACUACUUAUUGAUUGAAUAGCCACAAUUCUUUACAAUGGUCUCAAACUGUAAAAAUAUUUUUGAGGGGUAUUAUCUCAAUGGUUCUAUCAUCUGCCAAGGAGAGUCCAGUUACAACACAUGGGAUGCUGAGAAUUUUAUGGUAAUCUCACGGUUGAUCUAACUCGAUGGUGCCAGAAACAGGACACAGUUACAUGUUCUUUCCGGAAGUUUGGAAAUUCUGUCUGAGAAACAUAUUCAGAUUGGGGCGCAUCAAACGUGUAAAAGAUUGUUAAGUUUUGAAAACAUAUACGAGAUAGCAACAAAAGGCCAAAUAAUUUUGUUAAAACAAGUACGAUGUAUAGCAAUGAAAUAGCUAAAACCAUUUAUAAAUUCAAAUUUCGUAAAAAUGUUUCCAUUUUUUCUUUUAAGAAUCUGAGCUGUAAUUUUCAAAUGUUAGAGACGAUUUCGCGAAAAGUCUCUAUCAAAGGUUCACAAUAGGAUUUGUGACUAAAGAAAUCCCAAACAAAUUCCAUUUCAGGUUUUCCUAAUAAUAGUUUUGACGUUUCUGAUUCUAUCUUUGCUUUAUUGUUCAUCAUCAUCAUCCAAGCUGAUUAUUAUCUUCUACGUAGAUAUCUUGUGUAGGAUUCUUAAUGAAAUGUGAAAAUUGCCAUUUAAGAUAAAAAAUUAUGAGAGCCCCAAUCUAUAAUUACAAAUCAUUAACUAAAUAUAACAAAAUGAUCCAGCAGCUAGAAAGAGAUUUUUUAUCGAGAAAAAAAUUGGUUAAGAUGUAGGAUACCUAUCCAAAUGUUUUCACAACUCAAUCAUAUAUGACAGAUAAUCAAAGAUUUGACGGAGUACACUUGCUAAGGUUGAGAUGAGUUCCAUUUAUUAUGUAGAUGGAAAAAUGGUAAAAUAAUUAAUUCCUUUUUUACAGUAAAUUCUUACAUUUUUUUUUAUUUUUUAUUUUUGGGUGAAUGACACUAGUCAUUUUUAUAUCAUUGUACAAUGUUCUUUGGUUUACUUCUUGUGGUGAAUACUGAAACAGCAGGGUAUAUACUUUUAAAAAAACGUCAUAUAAAAUAAAUUUUUAAUUUUAUGACGACUAAAAUAAACCACUAUCGAAAGAACAAAUAUGUCAUGAUAAUGGCAACAGCCUUUAAUUGUUGUGCAACGGCGUAUGAAUAUUUCCAAAAUGUAAGUUCUUCGAACGUCAUAACCGGUGUCAUUAAAAAUAUGGAUAAUUCUACAUCUAUGUUAUGAACACUGUUAUGGAUACUAUAAUGUACAUGUAACAUAACCCUAAAAAUAUAUUCUUUCUAUUACAAAAAUUAUAACCAUCCUCGUAACACUUUAGGUUAAUCGUAUACCUGAUGGCUCGUCAUAAAUCAUGCCCAUGGAUAACCUUAUGUGACGACAGUUCCAUAGUUGGCAAUACAAUAAGUGUUUAAGGAUUUAAGUCUCUCUUUUCCAAGUUCCCGUACUGUCAAGAACAAAUUAAUGUGUUCUCAUUGUCAAACAUUUGAAGUCCAUUAGUUAGGUGAUUUUAGACUAUUACAUUUAUUGCUUGAUGUGAACCCAACGGCCACAGUUUCGUGGAGGAAAUUUCCAGUUGAUUUUCUAUAAACAUAUUACAUUUAUAUUGCUAGAAGUUUAGAGUGCGUUUGAUUGCAAACAUGUAAUUUACAUGGAAAGAAAAUAAAUUCUACACAAUUAAAUUCCGUGUAACUUAUUUGCAUGGAAAUUGUCAAUUAAUAUGUUUGAUUGAUUUAAUUUUCAAUCUAGAAAAUGUUAUGCUUGUCCAUUUUUUGUUAUUAGGUAGAUGAGAGAGAACUUGGACAAUGAAAAUCUACUCCCCUAAAAAAGUAUUUUCCUUGUUUUUAGAGAAAAUAUAGUCAUAUAAUCAAAAGUAGGAAAACGUUUUGAUAUGAUUGAAAAAUCAUUAUGGAAAGAAUUCCUUCAAAGAAAGUUGGGGUAAAAAACAUUCGACUUCAAGAAAAUGACAUAUAGUCCUUGUUUGCUGGGAUAAAAAUAAAAUUUUUUAGCAAAUUUUGAUAAAAAUUUAUGAAAUGUAUGGUUAAAAAGUUGUCGAUCCCUUAAAAUAAGUGGUUGAAAUUAAUUGUUGAAAUUGAUUUAGACUAGAAUAUGAAAUUUAACUUCUAUCAAACGGGGGCCUAAUUAGAUCUCCUACACUUGCUAAUUUUUUCUCUCUUAUUUUUUUUUUCGCCCUAAGAUUAUAAGCCGGCGAAACAUCAUGAGGUAUAAGGUUAGCGUUUGCAUUCUGUUGUAGCCAGAAGCGUGAAAUAAACGAAGGUAAAUGUCCAGGGGCGGACCCACAUGGGGUCAUGUGGGGUCAAUUGACCCCACAGUUUUUUUUUUCCAUUUUUUUUAAAUUUUCUGCUGCUGAAAAGAUUAUUUGGGUUUGGGGUUCCAAAUUCUAAUUAAAUAUCCACUCCAAUCCAUUAAUUCUAUGAAUUUAUUUUCGUUAAUGAUACGUUGUUUGAAAAAAAAAUUAUUUUUGACCCCACUGUCCGAAGUAUCUGGGUCCGCCCUUGUAAAUGUCGAACCUAAAAAUGUGUUGGUUCUGAAAAUACAAUGAAUUUAGGAAUCAAUCAUUCGUAGAUUUACCAUGGAAUACCGAAUAAUUGAGAGAUGUGUCUUUUCUUUCUUUUAUUAAAAAAUAUAUUUAAAAUUGUAACACAUCUUUUAAUUUGUGAUCGUUCAUCGCUCUUGAUAAUGUAAGUGGAAUACUUAAAAGAAUUCCCCAGACAAUUCUAAAUAAUACAACUACUAAACCUUCUGCUACAUGCCAAUGAAGAUUUUAUCUUCCUUAAUAUUUCACAUUAUUCUCUUGUCUUUAUUCUCGGGAUUCUGCAGUGCUGCUGAUACAUUGAACUCAAAUGUCUCCAUCACCUAUGGUGAGACUUUGGUCUCCUCAGGCCAAAGCUUAGAAUUAGGCUUCUUUUCAUUCAGUAAUUCUGGCAAAUGGUACACAGGAAUAUGGUACAUGAUUUUCCCAAAAAUCAUUCUGUGGAUUGCAAACAGGGAAACCCCAUUAAGGAAUUCAUCUGGUGUUUUAACAGUUACCCCUAAUGGAGAUCUCGUCCUUCUGAAUGCUACGACUGGCGAUGUUUUCUGGUCAUCCAAUUGUUCUGAAAAUGAACCAGGCAGAGUGGCACAGCUAUUGGAAACUGGCAACCUUGUACUCGGAGGGGAAGAUGAUGCCACACAAAACUAUACAUGGCAAAGCUUUGAUUACCCAUCUGAUACGCUUUUACCAGGCAUGAAAUUUGGAUGGAGCACCAGCACAAACAGGUAUUUAACAGCUUGGAAAGAUGACAGUGAUCCCUCUCCUGGAGACGUUACUUUCCAACUCGAAAAUAUUGGGAUGCCUCAAUUUGUUCUUCGCAAGGGAUCAGAAACGAUUUACCGGUCAGGGCCAUGGAAUGGAAUCGAAUUUAGUGGAUCCUAUGGCUGGGAUUCGGCUUUCAAGCAAAUUUUUGUUUAUAACAAUGAAGAACUUUACUUUAUGAAUGAGAUUGUCAACAAUGUUUGCUUAUUAUCAAGGGGUGUCUAAUUCGAAAGUACAAUACAUAUUUUAAUUAUUAAGGUGACGGUCAAGUUGGUUAACCUUGAUGGUGAAAGUUUUGUAAAUCAAUGUAGACUUGUAUGCAUUAUCACGUUUCUGCUAUUAGUCCUUUAUGGAAAAACUCUUUAUGCAAUAGGAGAUAUGGUGUGUGGACGAGAUAAAUGGAUUAAAUUUUUUUUAUUUAAUUAUUCAAAUAAAGACUUCGUUUGAUGGUUAUAUGGUCAUUUUAAUCAUUAGAAUUUUUUGCGUAAGAUUUAACUAUUAAGCAAUAGUUAGGGUUCCAUUGUAGGUCGAAUGUUUAUAAAUAAAAAGAUUUUUUUUCUUCGAAUUUUGGAUAUUUUGAUACUCAAAAUCGACGGAUUAAAUCUUUUUUGAUAUUCUUGCACAUGUCAACAAUGUUUUGAUACCUAGUUUUAUGAUAUUAAUAAAUCAACACAUGCUAGAAGGUCAUUAUGUUAUGGUAGUUGGUUGAAAACGAUGAGACUUCGAUCGUGUGUACAUGUUUUACGUUUCUACCUACAUCAACUCUUCUUAAAAAUAAAAAGAAUAAUAGAAUAUUUGGUUGCCAACCUUUCAAAAAUAUGUAAAAUAUAGCCAUAACCUUUAAAAAUAGCACUACUCAUCCACAAAGGAUCGAGGAAUAAGCAUGCUAAAUCCCUGUUGACAGAAUCCAUUCAUUUCUCUAAAAUAAAAGACCUGUGAGAAAGAGUGCAGUGUGAAAAAUGGUCCAGUGAUGCAGGUGCCAUGGCGCCCAUGGUUCUGAUCGAUCUUGGCGCCAUGGCGCCACUCAUGGGCGCCAUGGCGCCCGAUUCAUUCUAUAUAUAGCUGGUGUUUUUCCCCUUCAUGGAACACCCGAUUUUUGGAGAGAAAAGUGAGAGAGCUUGGAUUGAAUUUAACAAGUAAGAGGUUGUUCUUCUUGGGUAUAAAUUGAAAGCUAUUUUUCUUUUCUUGGGGAUUAACUUGAGACUUGUUCAAGUAAUCCAAUCCAUUGUUCUUCAUUUAUAUAUUGAAAAUCAUUUCUUCCCCAUUUUCUUGUUCUUCAAGUGGUUUGGAAAUUUUCACAUUGUCAAGCUUAAUUUCUUGGGCAAUCUUUGGGAGGUCAUUUUCCCAACAAUUUGGUAUCAGAGCUUCUUCCUAAAUCAAGGUGGUUAAGCUUCGAUUUUGUGGUUAGUUGCUUGAACUUUGUUGCACACAAGGUGUUUGUGAAAAUUCCCAAGUGAACUUUGGUGAUUUAUUUUCGGUAAACAAGUGGAUAAAUCAUGUCUACUAGAGGAAUGGUGAAGAUUGGGAAGUAUGAGAUAGAGAAAUUCAAUGAGAAGAAUGAUUUUUCAUAUUGGAGAAUGCAAAUGAAAAAUUUGUUGAUUUCUCAAAAGUUGCACAAGGCAUUGGCGGGAAAGGAGAAGAAGCACAUUGAUAUGUCGGACGAGGAUUAGGAAGAGCUAGAUCUUGAGGCACGAGCGUCUAUCAUUCUUUACCUUGAAAGAGAUGUUGCUUUUUUGGUUGAUAGUGAGGUAACGGCGGCGGAGGUGUGGACAAAGUUGGAGGCAAACUUCAUGACGAAGACUCUAACAAAUCGGAUCUAUUUGAAGUCCAAAUUGUAUACUUGCAAGAUGGAUGAAGGUACACCAAUCCGGGAGUACGUCAACAAGUUCGAUAGGAUCAUAUCGGACUUGAAGGACAUUGAUGUGGAUGUAGAUGAUGAGGAUCAAGCACUUUUACUACUUCUUUCAUUGCCAAAGUCUUACGAGAACCUAGUACAAACAUUGAUGCUUGUGGGUGAUAAACUUGUGAUGGAGGACACUAGAACGUCACUUCUAGCGGAUGAUUUUCGAAAGAUUGCAACUAGUGGCAUGUCUACCAUUGGUAACAAGGAGCAAGCUCAAGGAUUAUUUGUAAGGGAAAGAAGUAAUGUGCGACCAAAGGACAAGGGAGAAAAAUCUAGAUCGAGUUCUAGACCUCUUGCGGAAAGGUCUUGUUUCAAAUGCGGCGAGCUUGGGCAUUUCAAGGCGAAUUGUCCAAACAAAAGGGGUUGGAAGAAGAACAAUAAGAACAACAACAACGGGAAGGUGCAAGUCAAGCAAGAGGUAAGCUAUGCCUCGGAAGGAGGGAAAAGCGAUGAGUGCUACACCAUCUCUUGUGAUGAAGAAACCUCCGGUAAGUGGAUUCUUGACUCUGGAUGCUCUUACCAUAUGUGUCCAAAUAGGAAGUGGUUUACUACCUAUAGAAACACUGAUGGUGGAACCGUGUUGAUGGGUAAUAACCAUUCAUGUAAAACUGUGGGGCUUGGUUCAAUUAGAAUCAAGAUGCAUGAUGGAGUGGUUAGAACAUUGAUGGAUGUUAGACAUGUUCCUGAUUUGCGAAAGAAGCUCAUCUCUGUUGGUGCCUUAGACUCCGGUGGUUGCAAGAUUGUAACAUGGAAUGUAGUAAAGAAGGUUGUACGUGGUUCUUUGAUUGUGAUGAAGGGUAUUCGUGAAGGCAAUCUCUAUGCUCUUCAGGGUACUACAGUCACUGAAGAUGUAGCAGUUGGAACAAGUGGAAGUGGUGGAGACCCAUGUGAGUGCACUCGGCUAUGGCAUAGGAGGCUUGGGCAUAUGUCUGAAAAGGGGCUAGAUUUGCUAGUCAAGAAAGGUUUGCUAAAGAACUUGAAGAAACCUUGCAUGGACUUUUGCGAGCAUUGCGUGUACGGUAAAGCACACCGAGUUCAGUUCCAGCCAAGCAAACAUAGAAGCAGAGGCAUUCUUGACUAUGUGCACACGGAUGUAUGGGGUCUGGCUUCUGUCACUUCCAAAGGCGGUUCCAGGUAUUUUGUUACAUUUGUUGAUGAUUAUUCUAGAUAUGCUUGGAUUUAUUUUUUGAAGCAUAAGAAUGAGGUAUUCGACACUUUCAAGAAGUGGAAAGCAAUGGUUGAAAACAGAACAGGAAAGAAAUUGAAGACACUGCGAUCUGAUAACGGUACUGAGUAUACAGAUGGUGCUUUCAAGGAGUUCUGUGGUAAGGAAGGCAUUGUGAGACACUGGACAGUUAGAAAUACACCGCAACAGAAUGGGGUCGCAGAAAGACUGAAUCGCACAUUUCGAGAAAAAUCGAUGUGUAUGCGAUCCUAUGCAGGUUUGGGCAGAGAAUGGUGGGCAGAGUCGGUUGCAAAUGCUUGCUACAUAGUGAACCGGUCUCCACAUUCUAGGUUAGAUGGAGAUAUACCUUACAGGGUAUUGACAGGAGAACAUGCAGAUUAUGAGAAACUCAGAACAUUCGGAUGCACAGCCUACUAUCAUGUCAACGAGGGAAAGCUUGAUGCGAGGGCCAAGAAGGCUAUAUUCUUGGGCUAUGCGACAGGUGUUAAAGGCUAUCGCCUUUGGUGUGUAGAGGAUUCUAAGUUCAUAAUCAGCAGAGAUGUUACUUUUGAUGAGAACUCCAUGGUAGCUUCGUUGAAAGCUACAGUGCCCGGUGGUGAUGAUGUUGAGACUACAAUGUCUCAAGUUAUUGACAUAGAACCUAGAGAUCAACCUGAUUCUAGGCAUGUUCAAGAGGAGCAUCAAACAGACACUCAAGAUGAGAGUGAUGAUGCACUUGAACAAGAAGCGAUUCAGCAAGAGAAUGUACAGGCACAGCAACAACAGCAACUUGCAGAUAACUUGGCUUCCUCUAGGCCACGCCGUACUUACAAGCAAGUUCUAAAGUUGGGGUUAGACGAGCCUUUGAGGCACUAUGGGCAGAUAAAUUUGGUUGAGUAUGCACUCUCGGUGGAGGAUGAUGAACCUACCACUUUCAAGGAAGCUAUUUUAAACAACAAUAGCGAGAGUUGGUUGGCGGCAAUGGAAGAAGAGAUGGAAUCACUUUACAAUAACCAAACAUGGGAGGUUGUCCCAUUGCCCAUAGGUAAGAAAGCUAUUGGUUGCAAGUGGUUGUAUAAAAAGAAGGAGGAUCCUACCAAGCUCAGUGGUACAAGAUUCAAAGCGAGGUUAGUGGCUAAGGGGUUUGCACAAAGAGAGGGAGUUGACUACAAUGAGAUCUUUUCUCCUGUAGUCAAGCACACUUCCAUUCGGGUGCUAUUGAGUAUUGUUGCUCAUCAUGAUCUUGAGCUGGAACAACUCGAUGUCAAAACCGCCUUCUUGCACGGGGACUUGGAUGAGGAGAUCUAUAUGCAUCAACCUGAGGGCUACAAGGUUGAGGAUAAGGAACAUCAGGUAUGUCGCUUGAGAAAAUCACUAUAUGGAUUGAAGCAAUCUCCUCGACAGUGGUACAAGCGAUUUGACUCCUUCAUGCUAAAGCAUGGUUUCUCCAGAAGUGAGUAUGACUGUUGUGUUUAUAUUCGGAAACUUCGGGGAGGUAACUAUAUCUAUCUUCUUCUGUAUGUGGAUGACAUGCUUAUCGCAUCGAAAAGCAAGGUGGAGAUAGAUAAGUUAAAAUCUCAACUUGGUAAAGAGUUUGAGAUGAAGGAUAUGGGGGCUGUUAGGAAAAUACUGGGUAUAGAGAUCAGAAGAGAGAGGACGAACCGGCGAAUGUUCUUGAGUCAGAAAGGCUACAUUGAGCGGGUUAUUGCUAGGUUCGGGUUGCAAGGUGCAAAGUCGGUGGUAACUCCAUUGGCUCCACAUUUCAGGCUCUCUGGUAAACAGUCUCCUACUACAGCGAAAGAAAAGGUACGCAUGGAUCGUGUGCCUUAUGCUAGUGCAGUUGGCAGUUUGAUGUAUGCCAUGGUGUGUACACGCCCAGACAUUUCACAGGCAGUUAGUGUGGUCAGUAGAUUCAUGGCGAAUCCGAGGAAGGCACACUAGGAAGCUGUGAAGUGGAUCCUGAGGUACUUNNNNNNNNNNNNNNNNNNNNNNNNNNNNNNNNNNNNNNNNNNNNNNNNNNNNNNNNNNNNNNNNNNNNNNNNNNNNNNNNNNNNNNNNNNNNNNNNNNNNNNNNNNNNNNNNNNNNNNNNNNNNNNNNNNNNNNNNNNNNNNNNNNNNNNNNNNNNNNNNNNNNNNNNNNNNNNNNNNNNNNNNNNNNNNNNNNNNNNNNNNNNNNNNNNNGAACUACGGAGGCUUGAUCCCGAGUUUUGGGUACGUAGGCAACCAUGGUUUGAAUGGUACAGCCGAGUUUGGCGCUUGCUGCUUCUUCUUGUGUUCGUCCAAAAUUUGAGGUCGAUCAAAUGAUGUACGAGGUGGAGAAUUGUGAGAAAGAGUGCAGGGAGUCAGGCGCCAUGGCGCCAUGAUUGGGCGCCAUGGUGCCCAAAGUGUGAAAAAUGGUCCAGUGAUGCAGGCGCCAUGGCUCCCACUCUGGGCGCCAUGGCGCCCGAUUCAUUCUAUAUAUAGCUGGUGUUUUUCCUCUUCAUGGAACACCCGAUUUUUGGAGAGAAAAGUGAGAGAGCUUGGAUUGAAUUUAACAAGUAAGAGGUUGUUCUUCUUGGGUAUAAAUUCAAAGCUAUUUUUCUUUUCUUGGGGAUUAACUUGAGGCUUGUUCAAGUAAUCCAAUCCAUUGUUCUUCAUUUAUAUAUUGAAAAUCAUUUCUUCCCCAUUUUCUUGUUCUUCAAGUGGUUUGGAAAUUUUCACAUUGUCAAGCUUAAUUUCUUGGGCAAUCUUUGGGACGUCAUUUUCCCAACAAGACCAAAGAGAAAAAAUUUACGUCCAAAAAUGUAAAAUGACAAAGAGGCUCUCUUCUUCAUUUAUCGCCAACCACCAACCCAAUCGAUCAUCAAAUCUUUCAUUGCACUUUGAAUAAUUAACUGAUUAUCAUACCUUUUAUGGAGCCAAGAUUUUUGUAGAGUAUCAUGGCUUCAAGACUUAACUUUGAAGUUGUAAUUUUUAUAUGUACUCUACGUUAAUUAGAGAGGGGUAGACCAUUUAUGCCCCGAGCCAAAAAAAAUUCCUCGAUUUACAUAUAAAUUGCUAUGUUAUCAAAUAGUAUUAGCCUCAAAAUUAGGCUGAAAACAAAUUUUCUUUUUGUGUUCUUUCUUGUCCCUGGAGAGUAAGAGGGUAUCAGGACCAUAUGAUGCAGAAUACUAAUUGAUCAUUAGUUUGCUUUGAGUUGAAGUUGAUUGGAUUUCUAAUACACUUGCAUUCAAUAAUUACGGCUAAUUUGACCUUUCAAUACAAUUUUCAAAAAUGCUAUUUGUACAGCCUUUUUUUUAUUUUUUAUUUUAUUUACAACAAUUUUCACAUUUCCUCACAGAGGUGGGGUCCACGAUUAUUUUAAUCGUGGACCACACCCACUUGAAUGUGUGUAUGCUGUGUAAAAAAAGGUAUGAAAAAUGAUGUACUUGUAGAAUGAUUCUACAAUUUUUAAGGAUUUCUAAUACACUUGCAUUCAAUGAUUAGGGCUAAUUUGACUUUUCAAUACAAUUUUAAGGCAUCUCCAAUUAUUGCAUUAAAAGUUUGGGACCAAAUGGAAAAUCAUCUCUAACACAGACCGAAAGUUGCAUCACAUGAACAAUGUUUCAUCAUUUUCUUUAUUUUUUAUUUCUUAAUAAUUUAUUUAUCUCAAAUUUAUCGCUAUAUAAAUUACUAAAUAAAUAAUUACGUUUAGUUAACAAAAAUAUUGAAUUCAUUAAUAUAUUAAAAAAUGUGAACACUUAAUACAAGUACCACAUUUAAAAAAAGAUUACAUGCAACAUAAUAAUAUUAAAAAAAUAUGUAAUAUAUUUCGAAUUUUGAUAUCAUGAUAUUACGAAAUCUAACUAAUGUUGUCAUUUAAUUCUCGAAAUUAGUAUAUUCAUCUGACAAAUGAUCAAUUAAUGCAUUUUGAAAUGCAAUGUGAGUGUCUAUGACACGCAAUGAAAUCUUGAAAGCCAUGAUUUUCGUCUUCAACCAACUCAACUCUGGAGUUGGCGUUUCCAUAUGACCUUUUGCUGUAUAAUAAGCAAAAUUGUGAUUCUUCAAAAGUCCUCGUGCUACAUCCUUCUGCUGCUUGCCAGUGAAGAUUUUGUCUUCCUUACUCUUUUACAUUCUUCUCUUGUCUUUACUCUCGGGAUUCCGCAGAGCUGCUGAUACAUUGAGCUCAAAUGGCACCAUCACCUACGGUGAGACUUUGGAAUCCUCAGGCCAAAGCUUUGAAUUAGGUUUCUUUUCCCCCAAUAAUUCUGGCAAAUGGUACAUAGGAAUAUGGUACAAGAAAUUCCCAGAAAUCAUUGUGUGGAUUGCAAACAGGGAAACCCCAUUAAGGAAUUCAUCUGGUGUUUUAACAAUUACCCCUAACGGAGAUCUUGCUAUUAUGAAUGCAAUGACGGGCGACGUUUUCUGGUCAUCCAAUUCUUCUAAAAAUGAACCAGCAACAGCGGCACAGCUAUUGGAAUCUGGUAACCUUGUACUCAGAAGAAAAGAUGAUACCACACAGAACUAUGUAUGGCAAAGCUU